UCUUGCUAAAAAUAUUGAGCCCAGAAAGCAUAAAUGGGAAUAGGGGUCCCUCAUCAUAUAUAACCUUCAUGUUCCACUCCACAACUACUUCACACAAUUUGUAAUCAUUAAUUCCUUUUUGUGUAUAUACAAUUAUUAUAUUUAAUGUAUCUUAACACAAAAUAUCUAACGAUAACAUUAUAUUACCGCUUGGAAAAGCCACCUCUGCUUGCAACAUUCCACAAACUGGCCGAAGAUGCUUCUUGCCUUCAGUAGAGGCCAUUUAUGAUUUGCAUUUUAUUUUAUGACCUCAAAAUUCAAUAUCAUAUGGUACGAGGAAAACAUCUACGAAUAACAAAUCACGAAGGCAAAGCAAGACCUUAACUCUAUACGAUACCAAAAUGUAGACAACACCAAAUUCUUAUAUAUUUUUGUUUGUUUCCCUAAAAUAUUGUCUCUGAACAACAAGUGAAAUGAACAAUGAUGCAAUAUUUCCACUUGGAUUCAAACACAACAAAGAAGCUGCUGCGACGAGCACAUCACUAUGCAACCUUCAUUUUUACUUACAACUUCAAGCUGUUAGCCAUCAAACUAUCACAAACAUAUCUAUCAGGCGGCAUUUCUGUCCCCUGUCAGUUUUAAUAAAAGCUGGAAAAAACCAGAGUCGACAACCAGUUGUGAAGCGAAACACCUAGGCACUAUAUCUCUAACUCAUUUCUCAUACAUCUAUUACAAUCAGUACCAGAAAGCAAAAAAACCACGCAUGCAUGCUCACACUUCCAGCCAAAAAAAUAUAAUUUUUACUCUCACCAGGUGAUUUUCUAUGCAGUCACUGUGGGUCUGCUCGGUCUUUUCCCUUCCAUGGCAUCUUUCUUUUUUCGACAGUUAGGGCAGAGGAAGGGGCCUUCCCAUGGCUUUGAUCCAGGUGAGAAAAAAGAUCCUGUGUUUACUGAUAAACCGUCAGUAGGGGUUUGAUCUACUUGGCAUACAGCACAUCUGUAUAGCCCAGAGUUUGUGUUUGAAGGAAAAUCUUUACCCAACCUUUCUGCAAGCCUAGCAGAACCCUCUUCAAACAACUCCUCUACCACUCCUACAGCAGAAAGCUUAUUUGUUGCUUUGCUCACAAAAUUUAUAUAUUUCUUUCCAAACAGAAGUGAACUAAGCAUGUUUUGCUUCUUCCUUGGUAUAGAAGGUAAGACGGGGACAUCAGAUGGGAUAAUAUCAACAACAAGGCAUGUUGUAUCAUCCUUCAGCCCCCUUGACCUUAAAGCCUCCUGCAGAGUAAGAAAAACAAAUAUAAUAAACACAACAUUAGUGGCAAACAAAAUACAACAGUGAACAUUUACAAGAUAUCACCUUAACCACCAACUUGGCAGCAAGCUCUGCAGGUAAACCGCGACAAGACUUUGCAGCCAUGUCAGAAGAUAAUGCAUCCCAGAUACCAUCAGAAGCAAUAAUGAGCCUUCCCCCAGCACUUGAUAGCUUCACUUGCUUGACAUGUGGUAUUGGAACAAUAAACUCUCCAACAUCUGUAUCUCCAAUUGACCUAGAAAGACAUAAUCCACCUGGCCAGCAGCGCAAGGGACCAACCUGAUUGCCCCCAAAUACAUUGAGCCUUCCUACUUCACCCCCACUCGCAGUUACACGCUCCCUCUCUUCUGCAUUCUCUUCUAACCUGUGAUCAACUGUCAAUAACGAAACUACACCUCCCUGGGUGUCCAAGAUGCAUCGUGAAUCGCCCACAGAAGCAACAGUAACAGUCCACCCAUCUAUCACAACAAAUGUCACAGUUGUCCCAGAAGUUUCCCUUUUCUGCUGAAAUUCUAUGUCAGUUUUCACAAAACCGGCUACCAGUGCUCGAGGAAGGGCUUGAAGCCACUCUUCCUGACUGAUUUCUUGGGGAAUUGCACUCAAAACAUUAUCCAAUAAAUUCUCCUUUGCAAAGAUGGCAGCUGAUAUACCAUUAUGUCCAUCAAAAAUCUGUCAACAAUACCAACAUAAUGAAUCCCUAUAGAAUAUGAAUCAAAUCAACAUAAGAAUUCCUAUGGGCCUAAAAUUACUGCAAUUUUCUAAUACUUCCCCACCUGAUCACUGAGAAAAGGUAAGAAAACAAAAUUAAAGUAAAAAAAGAUAGUACCGCAAAGACAGAAAAUGAUGUUGACAUAUCCCCAGGAAUUCUCUGGCAGUCAGGUUUUAUCAGAAAGUAAUCCUCUCCCUUCUUUGCCAACGCAGCUUGUCCAUACUUCACAAACGGUUUCUCAACCUUCUCGUUCCUAAGCUCACGACCAAUCAAGGUCCCAAGUGGAACGAGAGGGGAUUCCAUCGUUGUUACUUCAGCAGUUGAAACAUGAAGAGGCCUCAACAGAUCCAGCAUUGACGAAAAGUGAUCUAAAGCCACUCCAUUUCUGGUAAUAGCCACAGGAUUUGAGCUCAGAAAAGAAAGCAAGAUAAGAAGAAGAGCCUAAUCUAGAGAGAGAAGGGUAGAGAGAGAAAGUGACGCACAGGUGUACAAGCGAUUUGAUUGGAGGAGAAAUCUAGAGAUAUGGAAACGCGGGUUUUUGUUGUGUUUU
RNAcentral lists this unclassified non-coding RNA (2549 nucleotides) under Hevea brasiliensis (rubber tree). Lineage: Eukaryota; Viridiplantae; Streptophyta; Magnoliopsida; Malpighiales; Euphorbiaceae. The record is from RNAcentral.